AAGGUGCCAGACGAGGAAAGUCCGGGCUUCGCAGGGCAGGAUGCCGGAUAACGUCCGGUGGAGGCGACUCCAAGGAUAGUGCAACAGAAAUGAACCGCCCGGUUUGACCGGGUAAGGGUGGAAGGGCAGUGUAAGAGACUACCGCCUUCCUGGUAACAGGAGGGGCAUAUGUAAACCCCAUCCGAAGCAAGACCGAACAGGAGCAUAUGGCGGCCCGUCAGCUCCAGGUGGGUUGCUCGAGCCUGGCGGCAACGCCAGGCCUAGAUAGAUGAUUAUUCACGACAUAACCCGGCUUAUCGUUCUGCUUAU
Molecule: RNase P RNA, 309 nt
Filed under: human gut metagenome
Description: Bacterial RNase P class A
Rfam family: Bacterial RNase P class A
About the family: Ribonuclease P (RNase P) is a ubiquitous endoribonuclease, found in archaea, bacteria and eukarya as well as chloroplasts and mitochondria. Its best characterised activity is the generation of mature 5'-ends of tRNAs by cleaving the 5'-leader elements of precursor-tRNAs.
Source: RNAcentral